UGUGAAGUAAGAGGAAUAAAGAAUAUUUUGGAGGAGAUUUCAUAGCUGUACCCUGCACUCUCAGGCCACACCUAUGUUGUCAAAUCUGAUUUAGGACUGACUCAAGAUGUCAACAUGCCACAGCAAAGAGGUACAACAGGAGGAAGAAAAGUGCCAGGAGUGGAAGUCCGCAUUUCUACAAAUGGACCCUAAAAGGAAAUAGUCACAGGGUGUAUCAGCCAGAGAUCACAGGGACAGUGCGUCUGUGUGUGUUUGUUUGUGUGUGUGUGUGUGUGUGUGUGUGUGUGUGUGUGUGUUUGUCACACAUGGACCACAUGCUGGUGUCCAGCCUAGAGGGCAUCGCAGAGUUCUGCCAGAACAAGUUGUGUUACUUCUGCUACCACACACAUUGUAAGUGAAAAGGUCACAGAGCUGUCCCUGGAGGAAUGGCCAGGAGACCCUGUGUUGUUCAUAGACUGACAGUGUGUCCCAGAUCCAUACCAUACACUAACACCAAUAAGUAUAUAUGCUUUUGACAUUUGUAUACAAGAAACAAAUGUGUCCUAACACCACAUUAAUGUGUCUGUAGACAUCUGAAAAUGUACUUUUUUUUAAAACUUAUUUUCUGUUUUGUGACCUGUGACAGGCUAAAAACUGAUUUCAUUGCUGUUGCACUACUGUCCACCAUUUUUUUUCACUUUUUCCCAUGUGAUGUCGCCUGAGGAAAAGAACUGUGAUUGACACACAUUGCAAGCCUUUUCUUCAUCUGUUUGUUAGUGCCUGUACUUGU
Molecule: long non-coding RNA, 769 nt
Organism: Thunnus maccoyii (southern bluefin tuna)
Lineage: Eukaryota; Metazoa; Chordata; Actinopteri; Scombriformes; Scombridae
Exons: 3
Source: RefSeq, a predicted model, not a curated record